This 285-nucleotide ribosomal RNA is filed under the name Triticum aestivum (bread wheat). RNAcentral describes it as "partial small subunit ribosomal RNA". The record is from RNAcentral. Lineage: Eukaryota; Viridiplantae; Streptophyta; Magnoliopsida; Poales; Poaceae.
GGAUGUAAUCACCUUAUUAUUAACUCGGACAAUCUGGAGGUGAUUGAUACCAUGCAGGAUGGAGGACAGCCCAUGGGUGCGACGUCGACAAUUUUUGAUGAUUGUUUUCAUUACACUUGUGAUUUUGUUAGCACUAGAUUCGAACACUGUAAUAGAGAAGCAAAUAAGGUAGCUCACGAGCUCGCUAGAAUAGCUAGAUUUUCUUUCACUUCGGACUGGGAGGAGCCUUUAAAUGAAAUUGUAAUGAUCCUCACAAACAAUGUAUUGGUUAUAUAUAAUGAAUAA